AAGCAUAAUAUUGAAACUAAUUUAAUCUUUUGAACUGCAUUUAUCAAAACCUGGUUAAGCUGUACAAUAUUAAGCCGCAUAUUUAAGAGUUAUUCAGUUUGUGCAAGACCCCCUUGUUCACUAUGUGUUUUGGUUUCGCUCUAGUGUAAUUGCUCAACUGGCUGUUUGUGAUUGUUUCUGUCUAUUUCAGACUGUCCAACCGAAAGGAAUCGGAUGGAAAAAGUCAGCAGCCGGACAGACGACUAUCAGGGCCAUCAGCAGCAGUUGCAACUGCGAGGGAGCAGCAACAAAUGAUUUAGAAAAUGAUUUAUGGCACACUCAUCUAAUUACCAGGACCCGCAGAGUGGACCCAGGAACCAGCAGGACCAGGAGCAGGCGGCAAAAAGCCAUGGCCAUGCGAAGGACCCUACUCUCGGAUGACAAUUGCGUUCCCAACCAUUUCCCAUUUGUAGCCAAUGUUUGCUGCUGUGGGUGUGGCAUGAGUGUGUUUGUCAGCAACAUCAUUGGCGACAUUAAUGACAUACGCCAUCAGUCCGAUUCUUAUGGGUGGCAGUUUCAGUUCCCAGUUCCCAGUCCCGAGAUCCCCAUCAUCCCCAUCAUCCCCAUCAUUUCCAUCAUCGUGUAGUUCCCAAGCCUUUUUCCGCGACUGCAUCGCAUCAAUCGUCAUCAGUUGCGAAUGUGUUGCGGCUGUAAAAUGGGUAUCGUAUUAGUAUCGCAUCAAUUAUAAUUUCCAGCUGACAUGCGAAUAGCUUCCGGAUUUGUUGCAAUUUUUCUGCCCCUCUCUGUUGCCACUUUGAUUGCCAGUGUGAUUGACGUUUUAGCCAGGCAUUGUGGUGUGUUUGCCAUUCAGCAUAACCAUUUCCCACCCACUUUGUGGGCCUCGAUUCGAAUUUAAUUCACGCUGCCGGCACGUGGAUAAAAAGCCCAAUAUUUGAUUGAAUGUUUUUUGUUUCUCCCUAUUGAUUUACCAUUAUGCGUUUGGGCACUAUGUCAGCCGAUCGGGGGUGUAGUCGAUGGCUAAUGAUUGUUUCGGUGUGAUUAUAUCGCAAAUGUGACUAAAUAACAUCGAAAUGUCUGUCAAACUAAGUAAUAAGCAUCUUACCUACUCACAAAUGUUCAUAUGAUAAACAAACUAGUAAAUUUUUUUUGAUUUUUCUAAAGACUUACUUUUUUUGCAAUGUUCAGUCAGCAUGGGUUUAAAAUCGAUGCCGCCUUCUUAGUAUUCCGAGCAAACUCCUGUCCAAGCCGAAACCGAGACGGGAACAAAUCAAAAACUAAUUCCAGCUCACCGGUGGAAACAUCCUUGAACAAACCGAGAACAGGAUUUCAAAGCUUUUCAUUGCCGACGGCAACAUCCUCGACAACUUCUUGCUCCUUGGAAUCUGUCAGAAAAAUAAACAAAACUGCGAAUUUUAUCGUCGUGAACGUUUAUGCACAAAUUGCUUCCAGGUUUUAGCGCUGUCGUGUCUGUCGCCUUAUCGAAUUUCAGGACAAGGAUGCCGCAGACGCAACUCCAUCGCGAUGCAGGAUUCCGGCUCCUAUUCUGCGGAGGAUUCGGCGGUGGAGUAAAGUUUUCCUGCUCAAGGCGUAAAAUGAAAUCGACAGUAAUUUGUGUGUUAUCUGUCUCCCUCUGACGCAAUGCUACAUCUGUUGGAAUAACAAUUGUGACAACUUUUCCCAAUCCCCGCCAGCUCCUCUAUACUAUAUAUACAAUGUACGUGUGUGCGGUGUCGGUACAAGUUCAGCAACAACAGGAAAUUACUUUAAUUCGAAAAGUUGACUUUAUCAAACUAUGAUAUCUAAACGACGGCUGGUGUUAAUGUGGGCGACAAAUAUUGUAUUCCCCGACUUGGGUUCAAUAAGCCCCGGCAUCAUCAUAUUGUCAUCUCAAAGGCGGCAGUUGGCUGGGCAGGGAGUUGAAUAUAAGCAGCUCCGGCAGCCCCUAAGUCACUUUGAUGGCGCAUAACAUUUAAAUCAGUUCAUUCUGCUGGCGUUUCUGGAAGGGGCGAGUCCCAUACUUUCUGUGCCUUACUUUCAAACACCCCAGUUUGUGUGAUAAAUACAGACAUAUAUCUGAUGGUUUGGGAAACGAAAUACUGGGGUUAAUUCGGAGUUAAAGCUGAAGGUGAUAGGUCAAGUUUCUAUCUAGUUUCUAUCUUGCGUUUUAUCUCUAUUAAGUGGAUAAUCGUAUUUGAGGUUACAGUACAACUUGGAUUGCAGAUGCAGAAAUUAAACAAAUAGUUUGUGAAGCACA
Molecule: long non-coding RNA, 2254 nt
Organism: Drosophila yakuba
Lineage: Eukaryota; Metazoa; Arthropoda; Insecta; Diptera; Drosophilidae
Exons: 2
Source: RefSeq, a predicted model, not a curated record